This is a long non-coding RNA of Cataglyphis hispanica, 546 nucleotides long. RefSeq lists it as uncharacterized. The transcript is spliced from 3 exons. NCBI's taxonomy places the organism in Eukaryota, Metazoa, Arthropoda, Insecta, Hymenoptera, Formicidae. The record is from RefSeq and is a predicted model, not a curated record.
CGAGAAGGAUGACUUGAUCAGCCAGGGUAGUCCGAGGCACAGAAGUAUAUCGAACGUGUUCGAUCCUAUCGAAUUACUGAUGCCCAUUGAGCCAUGCCCUGAACAAUGAAAGAGGAUGAUAAGAGGAGUUACGGAAAGAAAAGAAAUCAUCUUGAAGUUACGAGUUUCUGUGCAUGAAGAUAACAGGACUCGUUGUCAAUCAAAGUUGUAAUAAAACCGAAAUUAUGGCCUCACCUGUCGUAACUCGUCGACCGUCCGAAGAUAUCUGGUCGUCGUUUGUACGGAAUCUCGUACACCGCUGGAACGAUUUAUCCCAAUACAUCACGGCGAUAUAAACAAUAUACAAGAGCACCAACGUUAAUGCCUCGUACCAUUCCACUCGCUCGUCAUGUAUAAUGCAUAUUAAAAUGGCGACGGUGACACCAACACUUGGCAACCUACCAUUCCCGCACCGAUACCGCAGCAGGCUGGAACAGCCAGGAUGUUGAAUACUGCGGAACCUACUAUCGUCCCGACGCCAAUGUCACCUUCCGUGAUGAAUGUUCC